RNAcentral lists this ribosomal RNA (331 nucleotides) under uncultured eukaryote. RNAcentral's name for it is "partial 18S ribosomal RNA". It matches the Rfam family "Eukaryotic small subunit ribosomal RNA", at positions 1470 to 1796 of the family's 1831-position model. The record is from RNAcentral.
CCCUUAGAUGUUCUGGGCCGCACACGCGCUACACUGGCAGGUUCAUCGAGCUUCAUGCCCUGAUCUGAGAAGAACGGGAAAUCUUUGAACACCUGCCGUGCUUGGGAUAGAUGUUUGCAAUUAUUCAUCUUCAACGAGGAUUGCCUUGUAAGCGCACGUCAUCAGCGUGCAUUGAAUACGACCCUGUAUUCUGUACACACCGCCCGUCGCUCCCACCGAUUGAAGUUUUCGGUGAAUUUACUGGAGAUCCCUUUUGAAGGUGGUUCGCCACUGGAAGAAGUAUUCAAAAGUAAAUGAAUCGAAUGCUUUAGAGGAAGGAGAAGUCGUAACA